Molecule: ribosomal RNA, 253 nt
Filed under: uncultured bacterium
Lineage: Bacteria
Description: partial 16S ribosomal RNA
Rfam family: Bacterial small subunit ribosomal RNA
Source: RNAcentral
UACAGAGGUCUCAAGCGUUGUUCGGAUUCAUUGGGCGUAAAGGGUGCGUAGGUGGCGCUGUAAGUCGGGUGUGAAAUUUCGGAGCUUAACUCCGAAACUGCAUUCGAUACUGGCGUGCUUGAGGACUGGAGAGGAGACUGGAAUUCAUGGUGUAGCAGUGAAAUGCGUAGAGAUCAUGAGGAAGACCAGUGGCGAAGGCGGGUCUCUGGACAGUUCCUGACACUGAGACACGAAGGCCAGGGGAGCAAACGGG